UGUGUAGGCGGUUCUCUAAGUCUGGUGUGAAAUCUCCCGGCUCAACUGGGAGGGUGCGCCGGAAACUGGAGAGCUAGAGUGCGGGAUGGGAGAGUGGAAUUCCUGGUGUAGCGGUGAAAUGCGUAGAUAUCAGGAGGAACACCUGUGGUGUAGACGGCUCUCUGGACCGUAACUGACGCUGAGACACGAAAGCGUGGGUAGCAAACAGGAUUAGAUACCCUGGUAGUCCACGCCCUAAACGAUGCACAUUUGGUGUGGGUCAUUCAUUUGAUCUGUGCCGGAGCUAACGCGUUAAAUGUGCCGCCUGGGGAGUACGGUCGCAAGGCUGAA
RNAcentral lists this ribosomal RNA (330 nucleotides) under uncultured bacterium. Its description in RNAcentral is "bacterial SSU rRNA". It matches the Rfam family "Bacterial small subunit ribosomal RNA", at positions 568 to 898 of the family's 1533-position model. The record is from RNAcentral.